This 76-nucleotide small nuclear RNA is filed under the name Cervus elaphus hippelaphus. Lineage: Eukaryota; Metazoa; Chordata; Mammalia; Artiodactyla; Cervidae. The record is from RNAcentral.
GCUUGCUUUGGCAGCACAUAUACUAAAGCUGGAAUAAUACAGAGAAAAUUAGCAUGGCCCUUGCGCUAGGAUGACA